Molecule: ribosomal RNA, 490 nt
Filed under: uncultured bacterium
Lineage: Bacteria
Description: partial 16S ribosomal RNA
Rfam family: Bacterial small subunit ribosomal RNA
Source: RNAcentral
AUUGAACGCUGGCGGCAGGCCUAACACAUGCAAGUCGAACGGUAACACAGAACAGCUUUCUGCUUUGCUGACGAGUGGCGGACGGGUGUGUAAUGUCUGUCAGACUGCCUGUUGGCGGGGGAUAACUCCUAGAAACGGUAGCUAUAACCGCAUAUCGUCCCAACGGCAAAAAGGAGGAGCUUAUCGCCCCUUGCGAUAGUGUGUGCCCCGAUGGGAUUAGCUAGUAGGUGGGGUAACGGCGCACCCAGGCGACGAUCCCUAGCUGGUCUGAGAGGAUGACCAGCCACACUGGAACUGAGACACGGUCCAGACUCCUACGGGAGGCAGCAGUGGGGAAUAUUGCACAAUGGGCGCAAGCCUGAUCCAGCCAUGCCGCGUGUAUGAAGAAGGCCUUCGGGUUGUAAAGCACUUUUAGUGGGGAGGAAGAGAGUCAAGUUAAUACCUCGGCUUAUUGACGUUACCCAAAGAAGAAGCACCGGCUAACUUCGUG